This 323-nucleotide ribosomal RNA is filed under the name uncultured bacterium. RNAcentral describes it as "bacterial SSU rRNA". It matches the Rfam family "Bacterial small subunit ribosomal RNA", at positions 8 to 334 of the family's 1533-position model. The record is from RNAcentral.
AGGGUUUGAUUCUGGCUCAGGAUUAACGCUGGCGGCAUGCCUAAUACAUGCAAGUCGAACGAGAGUAGCAAUACUCUAGUGGCGAACGGGUGAGUAACACGUAGGAAACCUGCCUCAAAGUCGAGGAUAACUACUGGAAACGGUAGCUAAAACUGGAUAGGAUAUAUUAAGGCAUCUUGAUAUAUUUAAAAGUCCUUCUGGGAAUGCUUUGAGAUGGUCCUGCGGCGCAUUAGCUAGUUGGUGAGGUAGUAGCUUACCAAGGCGACGAUGCGUAGCUGAGCUGAGAGGCCAAACAGCCACACUGGGACUGAGACACGGCCCAG